CCUACGGGGCGCAGCAGUCGGGAAUAUUGCGCAAUGGAGGAAACUCUGACGCAGUGACGCCGCGUAUAGGAAGAAGUUUUUCGGAAUGUAAACUAUUGUCGUUAGGGAAGAGAAAGGACAGUACCUAAGGAGGAAGCUCCGGCUAACUACGUGCCAGCAGCCGCGGUAAUACGUAGGGGGCAAGCGUUAUCCGGAUUUACUGGGUGUAAAGGGAGCGUAGGUGGCAUGGCAAGCCAGAAGUGAAAACCCGGGGCUUAACCCCG
RNAcentral lists this ribosomal RNA (263 nucleotides) under uncultured bacterium. Its description in RNAcentral is "partial 16S ribosomal RNA". It matches the Rfam family "Bacterial small subunit ribosomal RNA", at positions 338 to 617 of the family's 1533-position model. The record is from RNAcentral.